RNAcentral lists this ribosomal RNA (253 nucleotides) under uncultured bacterium. RNAcentral's name for it is "partial 16S ribosomal RNA". It matches the Rfam family "Bacterial small subunit ribosomal RNA", at positions 524 to 776 of the family's 1533-position model. The record is from RNAcentral.
UACGUGGGGGGCAAGCGUUGUUCGGAAUUACUGGGCGUAAAGGGUGCGUAGGUGGUCAACUAAGUCAGACGUGAAAUCCCUCAGCUUAACUGGGGAACUGCGUCUGAUACUGGAUGGCUUGAGUUUGGGAGAGGGAUGCGGAAUUCCAGGUGUAGCGGUGAAAUGCGUAGAUAUCUGGAGGAACACCGGUGGCGAAGGCAGCAUCCUGGACCAACACUGACACUGAGGAGCGAAAGCCAGGGGAGCAAACGGG